This is a small nuclear RNA of Fukomys damarensis (Damara mole-rat), 105 nucleotides long. NCBI's taxonomy places the organism in Eukaryota, Metazoa, Chordata, Mammalia, Rodentia, Bathyergidae. The record is from Ensembl.
UUUAUAUUAUACAUAAAGUUAUAUAAAAUUGAAAUGAUACAGAGAAGAUUAGCAUGGCCUCUGAGCAGAGAUAACAUGAAAACUCAUGAAGCAUUUCAUAUUAUU